Molecule: unclassified non-coding RNA, 551 nt
Filed under: Hevea brasiliensis (rubber tree)
Lineage: Eukaryota; Viridiplantae; Streptophyta; Magnoliopsida; Malpighiales; Euphorbiaceae
Source: RNAcentral
GAUUUUAAAUAUCUUCGAGCAAUUUCUCCAGGAUCCAUUACAAGCUCACCCUUCCCAAAUACCCUUGUAUUUGGGGCAACAUAAGCAGUCCGGAACUUAAUGAACACAUGCAAUAGAUAGAAAAAAUCCGCUAUAGUUCGGAAAAUGGUGACAACAAUUCGCAAAUUCAAAUCUGUUUUCACACAACUCGACUCUUUCGUCCCUUGUAUGAUGGGCAAAAAGAAAUACAAUGGAUCAACAAACAGUGCCAGCAAGCAUGAUAUAAUAAAAAUUCUAUUCCACUGGAUUACAAGGUCACUCCCCGGAUCAAGUAUUCGCUUCCUCCAGGACUCAUGGUCCUCGGGAUACACCUUCUUCGGCCUCCCAAACUUAAGAGUAUCAGCGACUUUAUAUUUUCCAUCAGAGUUCAAUAAUGGAGGUGAGAAUUUUUUCUCUACGUUCGAACUGUCUGCUAUUCCUCCCAAAAAACUACCUUGUUGCUUUUCACCAGAGUAGAACCUUACAAACCUCUCCUUCUUCAGCUCCAUUCCAAGAAGGGUAACCAAAAAAAU